Molecule: non-coding RNA, 673 nt
Organism: Cinara cedri
Lineage: Eukaryota; Metazoa; Arthropoda; Insecta; Hemiptera; Aphididae
Source: the annotation of a GenBank genome assembly
CCUUAUAACUGUAGCACGCUUUAAAAUUUGCAUGUAUCUCCAGGCUGUGAUAUAUAUAUAUCAGCGUUUUCCGGGUAUAGACCUAAACGUUACUAACGAUCGAUGAUUGAUUAUACAUCUCAGAAAUCUUCAAAUCGGAAAAAUAUUUUAAUGUAAACGAAUAUUAUGAUUAAAAGUACGCUAAGAUCACAACGGGUCGACCGAGAUUUACUUAUCAUAUUAUUGCAUUUGGUCAUUACAUUACAUUAUACAGUACCGUAGCUAAUUUUUUUUUUUUUGGAGGGAGCACUCACAAUUUUUAUAUAAAAUCCCAUAUUUUGUUGAACGAUAAAAUACACAGAAAAAACCAAUAAACAAAAAAAAAGGGCACGUCCCCUCACCACCCCUCCAUCAUCACCCAUGCGCUGGUGUGUACUAUUCAGAGGAGGUUUAAAUUCCUGUUCCCAAAAAGUCCGCGAUUUCAAGAUGUCACUGUAUGGGUACCUAUAUUAUAAUAUUUUGAAAUGUAUUUAUAUUAUAGUCAUAAAAUCAACUUCUUAAUAAAUAGAUAGGUAGUCUAGUGGAUAGGGCGUUAGAUUAGGCAGAGUUACGGGUUCAACACGAGACUGUGCCAAGUUUUAUUUAAUAAACGAAAAUUUCGUGGCCAUCCGUUAUUUUAUUAAUAUUUUCUAAA